UACACAUGCAAGUCGAACGAUGAACCACCUUCGGGUGGGGAUUAGUGGCGAACGGGUGAGUAACACGUGGGCAAUCUGCCCUGCACUCUGGGACAAGCCCUGGAAACGGGGUCUAAUACCGGAUACUGAACCGCUUGGGCAUCCAGGCGGUUCGAAAGCUCCGGCGGUGCAGGAUGAGCCCGCGGCCUAUCAGCUUGUUGGUGAGGUAACGGCUCACCAAGGCGACGACGGGUAGCCGGCCUGAGAGGGCGACCGGCCACACUGGGACUGAGACACGGCCCAGACUCCUACGGGAGGCAGCAGUGGGGAAUAUUGCACAAUGGGCGCAAGCCUGAUGCAGCGACGCCGCGUGAGGGAUGACGGCCUUCGGGUUGUAAACCUCUUUCAGCAGGGAAGAAGCGAAAGUGACGGUACCUGCAGAAGAAGCGCCGGCUAACUACGUGCCAGCAGCCGCGGUAAUACGUAGGGCGCGAGCGUUGUCCGGAAUUAUUGGGCGUAAAGAGCUCGUAGGCGGCUUGUCGCGUCGGUUGUGAAAGCCCGGGGCUUAACCCCGGGUCUGCAGUCGAUACGGGCAGGCUAGAGUUCGGUAGGGGAGAUCGGAAUUCCUGGUGUAGCGGUGAAAUGCGCAGAUAUCAGGAGGAACACCGGUGGCGAAGGCGGAUCUCUGGGCCGAUACUGACGCUGAGGAGCGAAAGCGUGGGGAGCGAACAGGAUUAGAUACCCUGGUAGUCCACGCCGUAAACGGUGGGCACUAGGUGUGGGCGACAUUCCACGUCGUCC
RNAcentral lists this ribosomal RNA (780 nucleotides) under uncultured Streptomyces sp. RNAcentral describes it as "bacterial SSU rRNA". It matches the Rfam family "Bacterial small subunit ribosomal RNA", at positions 50 to 842 of the family's 1533-position model. Lineage: Bacteria; Bacillati; Actinomycetota; Actinomycetes; Kitasatosporales; Streptomycetaceae. The record is from RNAcentral.